CAGCAGCCGCGGGAAUACGGAGGAUCCGAGCGUUAUCCGGAAUUAUUGGGUUUAAAGGGUGCGUAGGCGGAUAGAUAAGUCAGUGGUGAAAGACGGUGGCUCAACCAUCACAGUGCCGUUGAUACUGUUUAUCUUGAAUAUGGAUGAGGUAGGCGGAAUGUGGCAAGUAGCGGUGAAAUGCAUAGAUAUGCCACAGAACACCGAUUGCGAAGGCAGCUUACCAAGGCAAAAUUGACGCUGAGGCACGAAAGCGUGGGGAUCGAACAGGAUUAGAUACCCCCGUAGUCCCUGUCUCUUAUAC
RNAcentral lists this ribosomal RNA (301 nucleotides) under uncultured bacterium. RNAcentral describes it as "partial 16S ribosomal RNA". It matches the Rfam family "Bacterial small subunit ribosomal RNA", at positions 509 to 807 of the family's 1533-position model. The record is from RNAcentral.